GGUACCCGGAGACGUGUAUCAGACGGUGGGCCGCAGCCAUGGCCGAGAGAAAACCUAACGGUGGCAGCGGCGGCGCCUCCACUUCCUCCUCGGGCACUAACUUACUUUUCUCCUCCUCGGCCACGGAGUUCAGCUUCAAUGUGCCCUUCAUCCCAGUCACCCAGGCCUCCGCUUCUCCGGCCUCCCUGCUCUUGCCCGGAGUUUUUCAUUUCUAAGAAGCAAGUUUUCAAAGAAAAAAAGAAAAAACUUUUUUUUCUGUAAUGCAGAAAUAGCAAGUUUGAAGA
Molecule: small RNA, 284 nt
Filed under: Pongo abelii (Sumatran orangutan)
Lineage: Eukaryota; Metazoa; Chordata; Mammalia; Primates; Hominidae
Description: processed transcript
Source: RNAcentral